Gasterosteus aculeatus aculeatus (three-spined stickleback) is the source of this 586-nucleotide long non-coding RNA. Lineage: Eukaryota; Metazoa; Chordata; Actinopteri; Perciformes; Gasterosteidae. The record is from Ensembl.
UUUUAAGUAGAGGUGCACCUCUUUUAUUGGGUUUUACGGCUGCAAGAGAUCUGUAGUAUCUUAGAUUCUGAAAUUGUCAAUCUGGGCGGCACUGUUGUGCGUGGCAAGGAGUUGACAAUUGUAAACUUUCAGCAGAGCAGUUCAUUUGUUAAAAUGAUAAUUCAUCAGGAUACCAUAUUAAUCAUGUUUUUUUUUUAAAUUUUGGUCAAUGCAGAGUUCCAGAAGCUUAUGGCAGUUCCCCCUGAGAAAUUCAUGGCCCAUGUACACAUGCACUCAUGCACUGAGGUCAGUUGUCUGCGCCAAAGGGGAACCAACUGAUUAAAAGACUGCUUGCAACAUGGCUGUUUUCGACCAGCAGGCUCUUCCAGUACACGCAACAGGCUCCUGGCUUAUAAUCCCCAGGAGUGGCCAAGCAACCUCAGCCUCCUGUGAAAAUUGCCAGCUGACUUGGAUUUGAGUGAUAGGGCGAUUCAGAGACUCAACAAAACAGGCUCCUGCUUCAGGGCUCGCAAAAAGUGGUCAAGCAGCUUUAGCCUCCUGUGGAAAUUGCCUUGUGCAUCUGCCAACUUAGCGAUUUGAGUAACAG